UAUAUUAAUAAUAUUUUAUUAUUUAUAUAUACAUAUAAAUAAUAAAAAAAAAAAACGGGAUGUACAUUAUUUCUUUUUUUUUUAUAUAUAUACACAAUAGUUUUCUUAAUCAAAUAAUAAUAAUAAUAAUAAUAAUAAUAAUAAAAUAGAAUCGAAGUUAACAAUAUUUAAAAAAAAAUCAAAAUAUAAUCGUGGUUAAUAUUAAAAAUUAAUAAUAUCGUACAGUCUUCGAUCAAGUAAUAUUAAUAAUAAUAAUAAUAAUAAUAAUAUACCUAGUUUUUUUUUUUGUUUUUUUUUUCCGUAUUAUUAUUUUUCCGAAACGAAAUAUCGCGAUUUUAUUCCCUUAUUCGUAAUAUUGUUUUUUUUUUGGUUUUUUUUUUUAUUUUUUAAGUAUGACGCGCAACGUAUUUCGUACAGGUACUUAAAAGCCGCGACUCCGCGUGGUCGUUUCGAAUACGCGCGAAAGUAUUUAUUUAUUGUUUUCCGAUUUUUCCCGCGGGUGUCGGCGGCCCCGAUUAUUGACAAUCGCGAGUGAAACCGUAAGCGAGUAAGUAGGCGAGCGCGCGCGCGUACAGAAAUGUGCACGACGUCUCCGCUAGCACCGAGUGCCACGACCGAAACGGCGCGGCGCGUAUAUUAUUCCGGGGGAUGCAGACACGAGGCGCGCCCGCGGUAUAACGGAUUUAUAUAAUUUAUUUAUGUAUUUCGAUAUUAUCGUACUCGUUUCGUAUAAUAUAUUGUGUGUAUUUAAUUUUUAAUUUUUUUUUUUUUUUUUUUUUUUUUAUGUCAAACAGGAGAAAACAAAAACGGACAAAUAAUAUAAUAAAAAAAAAAAAAAAAAAAUCGUAAGUAUAUAAGGUUUUAUAUUAUUAUUACAUUAUUGUGUUGCUCGCGCGCGCGUCUCCGAAAAAAUAAUAAAAAGCCGAAUCCAUUUCAGAUAACGCGGCGGCGGCGGUACACUAAGUGGUAAUUCGUGUACCGAAUAAAAGAAAUACACACGCGCGCGCGCGUAAAAUAUAUAUAAAUGUAUUUAUUUUAUUUUUUUUUUUUUUUCAUUCUCUUCUCGUUUUUCCUCUCGCCAGAUCUUUCGUCCGCGCGCGCGCUUGUGUGUGUAACAUUAUUAUCGUGUAUGGGUUAGGUACAGGUACGGUGUAUAAUAUACCGACGAAAGCGCACAACUCGGACACGUCGGAAUAAUAAUAACGCGCGCGCGCGCGGGACGGGGUGAAGGGGGGGGGGCUGGGGGUGGGGGGGGGGAAUAAACGCUCUAGGAGAGUGCGCGCGUAUAUCCUAAUAAUAAUACGUAAGAGGAGAUAUUAAAGAGAGAGAGAGAGAGAAAAAAAAAAAAACACGAGAGCCUAGAACCGGUAUUAUUAUUAUUAUUAUCAUCAUCACGACGACCGCGACGAAGACAAAAAAACCCCCGGAGACCGAACGGCGGUGCGCGAACACUGCGGGGCGAGGAGAGCGGCGAAAAAGACAGACGGACAGAGAAGACGGAGAGAAAGAGAAUGAGAGAGGCGGAAUAAAAUACUGUAAUAACAAUAAUAAUAAUAAUAUAAUACCGCGCCACCGACACCCACGGAGGUUUUUAAUUAUCCCGCGCGCAUGUCGUAAAUAUUUAUCGAAAUAUUGUUUUUUUUUUUUUGAUUAUUUUUUGAUAACUUCACCGCCGUCACCGUUGUCGAAAUCGAAAAAACGGACGAUUUUUUUAUUUUUUUGAAAAAGCCGAAUACGAGAGAGUAGUUUAUUUUAGUGUCGUGCUAGAGUAUUGAAAAAAAAAAUGUCUCCUUCUCGUUUAAAGGGAUAGGUAAGUUUAUAGCGCGAGAGGGGCGGCGAAUGAAAAAAAAAAAAAAAAAUUGGAAAAAAACAGCGGUACGAAGACUAAAUAUUCAGUCUGGCCCGGGAGAGGCCGCGAUUCAUUUUUUUUUUUUAUCUCGCGAAUAUAACGCGCAAAAUUUGGUUGCUCAAAAUCGUUGUAAAUUAUACGUUUUAUUUUUCGUUUGCAUACGUUUGAGCUGACUAGAAAAAUGGCGUUAGAUUCAUAAAUAAUAUUUUAUUAUAUUAGUUAGUACGAACCGUUUUUUGUUUUUUGUUUUUUUUACAAAAUAAUUAAUAAUAUCUUUUUAGUUUUGUUUUCCGUUCGUUGUGAGACCCGCCUAUAUAUAAUCACAUUUUUUUACAAUAAUAUUAAAAAAUUAUAAUACGGCGGUGGUAGCGGUGGCGGCGACGGACGCGCGGCCCGUCGCCGCGCGCGCGUACACUCAAAACAGAGAAUAAAAAUACAGUGAUAAUAAAAAUAAUAAAAAUAAUAAUAAUAAGAUAAAAAAAAAAUACAAGAAGUUUCACAUUCA
This is a non-coding RNA of Cinara cedri, 2354 nucleotides long. NCBI's taxonomy places the organism in Eukaryota, Metazoa, Arthropoda, Insecta, Hemiptera, Aphididae. The record is from the annotation of a GenBank genome assembly.